UGAAAACUAUAGAACACUAAAGAAAGAAAUUGAAGAAGACCUUAGAAAAUGGAAAAAUUUCCCAUGUUCUUGGAUAGGGAGAAUUAAUAUUAUCAAAAUAGCUAUAUUGCCAAAAGCACUAUAACAAUUCCUAUUGAAAUCCCAAUGACCUUAUUCAUAGAAAUAUAAAAAACAGUCAUGAAAUUCAUUUGGAAAAAUAAGAGGGUCAGAAUAGCCCAAAACUAUCUUAGUGAGAAAGGUAUUACAGUAAGCAUCACAAUGUCAGACUUUAACUUAUAUUAUACAGCUACAGUAACAAAAAAAUGGCAUGGUAUUGGCAUAGAAACAGACACGAAGACCAAUGGGACAGAACAGAACACACAGAGACAUAGCUACCAAAAUACAGUUAUUUCAUACUAGACAAAGGCACCAUACAUUGGAGAAAAGAAAGCCUCUUCAAUGAAUGGUGCUGGGAAAACUGGAAAUCUAUCUGCAGUAGAUUGAAAUUGAACUCCUAUAUCUCAAUCUGCAUGAAACUCAACUCAAUAUGGAUCACACACCUAGGCAUUAGGCCAGACACCAUGUGCUUACUAAAAUAAAAAUUUGGACCAACUCUCUAUCAUGUUGGCUCAGGAACAGACUUCCUCAACAUAAAAUCUUUGAUAAAAUGUGAAGUUGUAUGGCUCAGCUUUGAUGAGAAGAGCUCCUCAGUUUUAAAUCAUUUGUAUCAUCCACUAAUGUCCAUGCUGGGCUGAAAUAUGAGUUCUGAGCUAUUAAAUUUAUGCUCAGAUCUGAGACCCCUUGUAUUCACAGGAUAUGCUCUUAUUUGAAAAAGCGUUUUAUUAAAUGUAAGGAAGCUGAGUUUAUCCUGAAUUAAAGUGACCCUUAAUCUUUUGACUGUUGUCCUUAUAAAGGAGUAAAAAACACAGACAGAAGGAAGAGAGCUAUGUGAAUAAAGCAGUGACUGGAGUGAAGCUGUCAGAAACAGGUGUCACCAAAAACUACAAAAAGCAAGGGAAUAAGCUACUUCAGAGUUUUCAGAGUAAGUGUGGGGUCUAUAAACACCUUGAGUUUGGACUUCUAGCAUCUAGAAGUAAUAGAAAAUAAAGUUCUGUUGUUUUAAGCCACUGAAUACCUGGCACAUAUUUUCCCCUUAUCUGCAGUUUUAUUUCCACAGUUUCAGUUGCCUAUAAUCAACUGUGGUCCCAAGAUAUUAAAUGGAAAUUCCAGAAAUAAAUAAUUAAUAAGUUUUAAAUAACUUUUACUUCAAUAUACUGUUAAAAUUGUUAUUGUUAUAUUUUAUUAUUGGUGUUAAUCUCUUAGGAGUCUUUGCUAACUUAUAAGUUGAAUUUUGACCUAGGUAUGUAUAAGAAAAAACAUAAUGUUUAUCUGGUUUGGUUUCAGGAACCCACAAGUGGUCUUGAAACACAUUCCAGUGUGUUUAAUUGGGGACUGCUUUAAUUUGUUAUAGCAACUCUGAAAACCAAGUGUAUACCAGCAUUAUAGAUAUUUUACUUGUGAUAUGACUCCUACAGUAAUUUGGCUAAAAAUGAGGCUGAUUAACAUAAUAAAAAAAUCAACCUUUCUAAAUACUUAGAUACUAUAUUAAAAAAAAAACAUUGUUAAACAAAUUUCAUGUUUGACAACCAUUUGAGGAUUUGUGCACAUACUUCUUUCCUGAAUUAUUUUUUUUAUAAAUCUGUCAAUCUUUAUCUUAUACAACUACCAACAGAGAAUCAAUAUAUUUGAGAACUUCCUACCAUGCAACCAAUAAAUAAUUCCUAUUAAUAAACAUUCAAGAAACGUGUAUUUAUAAUAAAAAUAUUAUGUUUAAUUAUGUAUGGAAGAGAGAAAAAAAUCAAAUGCCACAAUAUGGUCUGCAAAAAAACUCAAGUAAAAUUAUCAGUAAUAAUAAAGCAAGCAUGUGUAUGCUUCAAAAGAAAGUAGAAGUAGUUUUAAAGACAAACUAAAGAUUGACCAGGUAAGUCCAUAAAGGAACUAGAUGACUUAAGAUAAAAAUAAAACAAUUUACAUUAAGUCCCAGAUGAAUGGUAUAGCACUGGACUAAGCACAUUUAAAAAGAAAAUGGUUAACCUAGAAGAUAAAUCUAAAGAAAGGAUCCAAACCAUUCAUGAACAGAGAUAAAUCAUAUUUUUUAAAAGGUGACAAAAGACAUGGAAGUUAGAAUACCAUCUGCUCUGCUUUGCACUAGUGUUGCCCAAAGGCUCUAGUGUUACAGGAUUAGUCACCAGGGUGGUCCUUUUGGAAGCUGGUGGGAACUUUAGGAGGUAGGACCUAAUGGUAGGCCAUUAUUUCACUGAGGCAUGUCUUUGAAGGUGAAGUGAAAUCAUGACCUCUUCCUCCUUCUCUUUUGCUUUCUAGGCAUGAGGUAAGCGGUUUGCUUUGCCUUGUGUUCCCAUCAUUGCCACCCUGCAAUCUUAUUAGAGGCCACAAGAAAUGGGUCCACCAAGUCUCAGACUAGAAUCUCCAAAACUAUGACUCAAAAUAAAUCUUUUCUCUUUGUAAUUAUCUCAAGGAUUUCAUUAAGUGAAAGAAACUUGAGUCAUACACCCUCUAAUAUAUCAUAAUUCACAAAAAAAGAUAUGAUAGACAAUUAGAAUAUAAAAGUAUUAAUCCAACAAUUCAAAAAAUUCAACAAUUUGCAAAUAGUGUAUAUAUCAGUAAUUCACAUCUAAACACAUAAUAUUCAAACUUUAAAAAUAAAACAAUAUCUUUAAACCAUGCCAAAGUAAAGAAUAAACUUUCAAUAUUGGUAUAAAAAUUAGUGUGGCAAUGGCUUCUUAACAGUAAUUCUGAAUGUCAGAAUUCAGUGGUCUUUCUAGAAAGUAGAAAUAUCUGCAAACUUAUAAUUGUAUGAUGGUUAUCUAUUGCUGUGUAACAGACUGUCAAAAACUUAGUUACUCAAACAUUUAUUAUCUCACACUUACUCUGGACUGUGAUUUAAAAACUGCUUAGCUGGAUAUUUUUGGCUAACAACUUUUCUGAGGUUGCUCUUAAGUUGUACAUCCAGACUGAAGUCAUCUGAAUUCUUGACUGAAAAUGAAGUAUACUCUUAAAAAGUGUAACAUUGUUGUUAGCAAAAAUCUCAGUUUCUCAUUAUCUAUUAACUGGUUCCUCUCAGCUCUUUGUUGCAUGGACAUCACUAUAGUGCUAUGUGAUGAUCCUUACAACACAAUAUCUGGCUUCUCUAGGGUAAUUGAUCCAAGAAAGAGAGAGCAAGGAGGGAGUCACACAGCUUUGUGACCUCCUCUCAUCUCGCAUGCCAUUAUUUAUGUCACAUUCUAUUCUAACCUAAGUCAACUACUACAUCUAUUCCUGUAUAAAGAAAAGGGAAAUUAAAUUUCAAAUUUUGAAGAGAGUAACAUAAAGAAUAUAAGAUAUACAUUUUAAAAGAUUCACAAAUAUAUACAAAAAAGUAAAGAAAAUAUGAAAACACAUUACAAAAAUUGAUAUAUUUAAUCAUAAACAUAUUUCAGGAGAGAUUUUAGGAAUCAUAUAAUACAUACUGUCCAAAAGUUAUAGAUGGGGGUGCAGCUUAGUUUAUAAAAUAGAAAACUAAAACUUGAGAACUGGCUUGCCCCAAACUAAAAUCUAGGCUUUCAGAUUCCAAAUCCCAAGCUCCUUCAGCAACAUAGCACAGGAUUUAGCUUUGACCCGAUUACUCUCUUAGUCAAAAGGUAUUUCAUUUUUCUCAAAAUCUUUGAGCCCUGUAAUGCCUUAUCUUGUGAUAGUUCUAUUUUUAUAUACAAGCUCCCUGAUACCAUCCCUGAGGUAAUAGCAUGCUGGAUUUCUUCAAGGACCAGCAUGGUUAGUGUUUCAGAACUAACAAGUGAGAAGGCCAGGGUCAGGAUUGAAUUGGGAGGUAAAUAAGUAGGGUAUGUGUGGGUAGAGUACUAGCAGCACAGUAGUCAAUAUAUUGCUUCUAAUUAUUUAUUUGUUUAUAUGAAUUUCACCUUUAUAUUCCUUGAAAGCAAACUAUACUUGCUUUGCUUUUUCCUUCUCAAUAACUUUUAAAAUUGCAUUAUUUUAUUGAAUGUGUGAAUGAAUAGAUCUCUUUCCAUGAAACUCUGUCUACAUUAUAUGAUUAAAAAAUAAAUGAUUCGUGGUAAAAUGUCUGAACCAUUGAUAUUAUAAAAACACAAUAGAGAAUGCUCAUGAAAUUUAAAAUGAAAUUGCAUAUCUUUUUUGAAUUUAAAAUAAGUCAAUGACAGAACUAAGCAAAAUAUUGACAUUUGAAAAGUAUUCCUACUAUUUGACAUCUGGAUUUCAUUUAAUUUACAAUUGCUUUGUAAAAAUGAAAUUAUAAUAUGAAAUCAUUGUUGAAGUGUCUAUGAUACCUAAUUAGUAAACUGUAAAUUUCAGAAACAUAUUGCUCUCUUAUCCAGAGUAUGUAAUCCCUAAAAUAUUGGGGAAUAGACAUAUUUUAUACACUCAGAAUAGAAUUAGAGGCCCUAAAGUUCUAUAAUAAUUCACAGAAGAUAUAAGCAUUUGUAACAUGAUUCUAGCCUUAUGAAGUCUUCAUUUAUACUUUGAUUGCCUUUGAUAUAACUAUAAAGCAAUUAAGAACCAAUCUUCUUUUUCAUGGAUUCUGGCAAAUGAAUUUCUAAAACUAAAAUAGCAAUGAGAUUUCACUAUCAUUGUAGUAUUUACAUCAGCUAAACUCCUUCUGAAAGCCAAUAGUCUAAACAGUAUAGUAAAAGUAAAAACUUAUUCCAUGAGAAUCAUCUUUAACAAUCUAAGAAUCAGAAUAUCCCCUCCCACACACACACACACACACACACACACACACACACACACACACACACACACACACAGAGAGAAUAAAAAUAAGUAUGGCCAAAACAGAAGUAGUAGGACUUGCUAAAAAUCAGUAGCUGUAGCUGAGUGGUAAAAGCAGCUGAAAGGGGAGGAAAAUGCUUAACUUGGCCUCCAGAUGGUUUUGCUGAGAACAUGGGUACAAGCUAAAAAUGGAUAGUGGCUCCCAAAGGGCAGAACUUCAAGCAGGGCACCUGGUUUAUUACUUUGUGUAGAAGGAAAACAAGCUUAGAAUGAGAAAAUACAGACUUUCAUAAGCAGUGGUUAAUGGCCUGGUUGUCUGAUUUGAGACUUGAAAGGAAAAGGAUUAGAUGUAUAACAGGGAAGUCAGAAGUAUGGACAUAUAAAUGGACUUAAAGGAGCACAAAGAUUAAAAUUUUCAGGUCAUCUUUGAACACCCACCAGGAAAGUGUCACUGAGUGAGUAGGCAAAAUAUCUCAACUAAUUGACAUUAUUCAACAUUUGUCAUUAGCCACCCCAGAACCACUAUGAAGGUUACAUGGCUGGAAUGGGUAUAGUGGCAGAGACACAGCCUUCCCAUGGGUACAAUGACAUGGAUGCCCACUUACAGGACAUAUCUGGCUACAUGUGCCUUUGAAUAUUUAUCUUGUCAGCCAGAGAUAAACAUUGAACCCCUGAUCUGACACAAUUUUUCUAGAAUAUUGAAUGCUUAGAAAUAAAUUCCACAAAAAUGAGGGGUGUGUCCUGUUUGUAAAUUUGUAGGAGCCCAUUGAUCUGGAGCAUGUCAAGAUAUGUGACAAAUUUCUGUAUCUGCCAACUAUUCUCCCUUAAAAAAUAGCUUUAAAAAUCUUUUGUUUUGUUACUAGAUCUCACUAUUGGUUCACUAGAGACAUAUGUUUAAUGAUGGAUUGACAGGUGACUACAUGACCUGGGAUGUUCAUUGUAAACUGGGGAUUUUCUGACCUGUGGAGUCAAGAAGUUGUGUUUCCAGUAGCUUGCCAUGAUCAAAUGGAAGUCAUAUAUCUGAGAUGGGCUUAAGUAAGUUGUAUGAAUAAAUGGCAGAGGUGCCCAUGGCCCAUACACAUACCACAUAGUUCCUCCCCCUUAAUCUAUAACUGUUUUCUUAAAGGGAAUCUCCUAUGACUAAUGACUAAGAAAAUUAAAUAUGGCCUGGCAGCAAAUCCAGUGCUAUAUUCCUACCAGGGUAUCACUGAAGGAUAGUAGUGAUGGAAAAUUUUCUCAGUAAGUAUCAUUUUUUAUUUAGUAGAUUUUCUUUUUAGUUACAUUUUUAGGAUUUUAGUUAUUUAAGGAGAUAGUUUAAAGAAUUUCCUUAUAACAUUCUCCCUCUUUCCUUACUCUUUUCCUAUCAUUUACCCUAUUAUUCACAUCUUACAUUAGUACAUUUGAACAUCACUACAUUUGUUACAACAGGUAAACUAGUACUGAUACAUUAUUAUUCACCAAAUUCCAUAGUCUACAUUAGGGUUAACUCUUUGUGUUACAUACUUCUGUGGUUUGGACAAAUGUAUAAUAUUCUGUAUUCAUCAUAAUAGUAUUUUGCAGAAUAAUUUUAUUGCCUUAAAAAUCCCCUAAGUUCCACCUAUGCACCUGCUUGCCUUGAACCCUUGGCAAUCACUGAAAUUUUACUAUCUCUAGUUAUUCCUUUCCAAGAUAUCACACAGUUGGUGGGACUAUAUGCUAGCCUUUCCAGAUUGGCUUCUUCUGCUAAACAAUAUGUCAAGAGCUGAGUUGGAAAGAACUGAACUGCCAGAUGCUGAUGUGGUCCAUUAAGACAACAAGCCAAAAUUAUAGUAACUGGUAAGCCUUCAUUUCUGACUGCAAUGUAUAAGCAAGAGGUUAAACAGAAAAAGGUACCAGUUCUCUCAAUGUGACAUUUUACCCUAUGGAAUGGUGCUGGGUGAAGGUCAAAUUUAUAAGUGCAGAUAGGAGAAUCACCUCAGUGCCAAGGCUAUCCUAAGGAAAAGGCUCUUGCUGUUUUAUGGACCUGGUGGGGAGAGUUGGGAGAAGGAACAGAUUAGGAGUGGGAAAGUACUGGAUGCUACUGAGUGAGAAUGGAGAAAUAUUUUCAAGCAUCACCAAUAAGGUGGUCAUGGCAAAGGCAUUUGGGCUAGGAAUGAAGAUAUGUAUCAGAGCAGGUAAGAGGUGAAGGGUUUGAUCCCAUAGCUAAUCCUUUUUGAUUUUGAACCAAGUCUGGUGUGUAGAACAAAGCUUUCCCAAACUUUGUUCAAGUAUAGCAAGAGGUUGGCCAAGUAUAGCCUUUGUAGCAGGUUAUACAGGUCAAGGCCGAAAGAGAACACAUAUCAUUUUGUCCUAGAGCUGGACUCCUCAAUAUGCAUUUAACACUCCUUUUUGUCUUUUUAUGGUUUUACAACUCACAUUUUUAUCAUUGAGUAAUAUUUCAUUGCAUCGAAAUACCAGUUUGUUUAUUCAUUUGCUUUUUAUAAACAUCUUAGUUUCUUCCAGUUUUAGGAGAUUAUGAAUACAGUGAUUUAAAACAUUUAUCUGUAGGUUUUUGUGUAGUUUUCAACACAUUUGAAUAAAUACCUAGGAAGAAAAUUACUGGAUCAUAUGGUUAAACUGUGUUUGGCUUAUAAAAAACUUCCCUGGGCUAGGGAUAUAGCUCAAUGAUAGAUCACUUGCCUGGCAUGCAUGAGGACUUGGGUUCUAUCCUCAGCACCACAAACACAGAGAAACUGCCAAACUGUCUUUCAAAGCGGUUAUAACAAUUCUGCUUUUCCACUAGUAAUGAAUGAGAAAUCCUCUUUCUCCAUAUCUUCUUAGAACUUGUUGCCAGUGUUUUGGAUUUUAGACAUUUUAAAGGGUGAGUAUUAGUCAUUGUUUCUAAUGUGUAAUGUCUUAAUGUCUUAUUAUAUUGAGCACCUUUUCAUAUACUUAAUGCUUUGCUGUAUGGAUAUCUUUUUUGUUGAGAUGUCUGUACAGAUACUUUGCCUUUUUGUCCUUAACAUUGUGUUUUAAGAGUUAUUUUUGCGUUUGUGGACUCAUUCUUUAUCAGAUAUCUGUUUUUCCAAAGAUUUUCUCCUAGGCUUUGGUUUCUCUUUAUGUCUUUUGUAAAAUCAAAAUCUUCUUGUUUUGUUUUGCAGUGCUUAUUAUUGAAUUCAGAACUUCACACAUGCUAGGCAACAGCUAUACCAGAAGUUGUUUAAAUUUACUAAAAUCCAAUUUAUCAAUUUUUUAUGGAUUGUGCUUUUUGGUGUUAUAUCUAAAAAUAUCAGCAAAUUCAAGGUUACCUAGACUUUCUUGUAUGUUAUCUUUCAGAAGUUUUUUAAUUUUAUAUUUAGUACUGUGAACCACUUUGAAUUAAUGUUUUUGUGAAAUAUUAUGUCAGGUCCAAGAUUUACUUUUCAUUUUUGUGUUUGUGUGUGUGUAUGUGAAUACCCAUUUGUUUUAUCAUCACUUAUUAAAAAAGAUUAUUUGCUUAUUCUUUCACCAAUGCCAUGGUGUUUUGAUUAAUGUGGAUUUGUAAUUGUGUCUUUAAAUCAGGUAAUAUUAGUUGUCUGACUUUGUUUUUCUCUAGUAUUAAUUUGUCUGUUAUGAGUCUUUCAUCUUCAGAAUAAGUUUUUCAAUAUCCUUAAAAUUAUUUUGGGGGGUAUUUUGAUCACUCUAACUUGAUUUGAUAGAUCAAACUUGAAAUUAUAGACAUAAUAUUGAACAAUGAACUUGCUUUUGUAUUUUGCCUAGAUGUUAUAUAAGGGUCUGGCGAAACGUCGGAGGGAGAGACCACCCAAGAGACUGACUCCAUGCAAUUGGCAAAAGGGGAUAUUUAUUGGGGAUCCAUUCCAGUGCGCUGGGACUCUGUGCUCACUCAAGGAGGGAGAGCAGCCCAGAGCCCAGAGCAAAGCAUUGAUUCAACCCAAAACAACCAACAGCUACCAGGUAAAGUGAGAUGAGGAACUCAAAGUCAUGGAGUUUUCUGAUCUUUUCACAUUCCCCAUCAUCUGAAGCUUCUGGUAUAAAAGAACAUUGGAAUGGCCUUCUGAAUACUCAGUUUUGGUGUCAGCCACCAUAUGGUGAACAGGUUUCCUCCACAUUCUUGUGCCGAGAUGUUUCUGCCUUGAAGCCAGUCAACUGUGAACUGAAAUCUCUGAAACCGUGAGGGGUGUAUCUUCAUUCAUUCAACAGAGAGGCACCAGACAAGACAUGUUUUUAUAGAUGAAACUUGUAUGAGGUUACAUGUGAAGCUUCUCUCCUAAUUUAGCAAACAAAUGAAUUAUAAAUUCAAAUCCAUGAAAACAUUACUGGAAAUGUAAAUCCUGAUUUUCCUGAAAUGUGUCCUUUUCCAAGUCCAAGUUUAUGUAAGGAGUCUAAUGACUACAGCAUAUGACUCAGCAUACUGCUGUUCAGAGGGACCUUCCCAUGAAAGGUAGAUAGCAUACCUAUAAGAUGUAUGGUGGAUUUCAUAAUUGCUAAUAAUUGAACAGAUUAUAUAAGGGAGAAAUAUAAGUGGUGUUUGGCUUUAAGAAAAACAAAACAAAUAAAAAGCAAAGCCAUUGUGAAUUGCAAUCAUCUUAGGAAUCAGUGUCAUCUUAAACUGCAGGAACAAUUUCAACAUCGUUCAAAUGAAGAUCUAACUUUUUCUUCAAACACUGUGUUCUAUAUCCUGUCUUUAGCUUGGCAUUUACUGCUGGGUUUACCAUAGGCAACCAGCUGUUCUCUACUAUAUGGAACAAGGCCAGGGCUCGGUUGGAAACAAUCAAAGGCUAAAAUUCUACAAAGAAUAAGUGAGAACCAGAGAAUCAAGAAGACUUCAAAGAGUUGUGAAUCGAUAAAAUGGACAGUUUUGAAUGAACGACUAGAUUUUGAUCUUCCUUCCCUCAAGACUGUAUUUAAAUAGUAUUUAGUAACAGAUAAAGCCUUUGCAUUUGUAAAAGCUAGUAAGCAUUUAGUUUGGAAGAAUAAAAAAGUUCUAUUUCUUAUUUUUCUGAAGCAAAUAUUAAUUUCUGAUUUUCCAGAUUUUAAAGUGCAGAGUGAGCACUGUUCAGUGACAAUACAACUCUAUUUGCUCCCUAAAUAUGUUAUGACAUAUUUGCUCAUCUUCUCUCAAUUGAAGUGGUCUUUUCUUUUCAUUUUUUUAGACAGGGUCCUCACUGAAAUUUCUCAGGCAGGCCUAGACUUUUGAUCCCCCUGCCUCAUCCUCCAGAGUAGCUGAAACUAUAAGCAUACACAACCUUACCUGGCUUCCUUCAUCUGCAGUAUUUCUUAUCUUUUUAUUGUGGCACUGACAACUUUGAGCCUAAAGUGCAAACUGUGGUCUGUGACCUUGAGAGCAAAUGCAUAAACACAUAAAAUUAUAUAAUCAGUUUAUGAGUCCCCAAAACCCUAUCCCUUGAGUCCAGUUGCAGAACCUUUACAGCACCUAUAAUGUUCUUUUUAUCCUCUGCCUGUCAAACUCUAAUUCAACUUGCAAGACUUAAGUUGAAUAUGCCACCCCUGAGUGGUCUUCUCUAUUUCUAUCCCUCCAAGCAAGCUGACAUUUAUUAUUCCCUACAUUAUGCUAUAUCUCUAUUAUUAGCAUUUAUUCAUUCUCUUUACUUUUCUUUCUCCCUUCAACAUUUAUUAAACAGACAUCAUAAAACUAAAAUGAAUAAAACAAUGCUUCUUCUUAUGGAACUCCCACUGCACUAAGGGGACUCAUACAAAUAGUGUUAUCAAGUGAGAUAAGUAUUGACAUAGAGUGAAAGAAAUGCCAGGAGAGUACAGAUGCUUGACAUUUCUCACAAAUAUUAAUAUUAUUUAUAGAUAAUUUUGCAAUUUACCCAAAAUUUCCCAACAAUUCAUCUUCAUUUAACAUCCCCGACUUUGCUGAUUGUAUUAUUAUUAUUGACAGCUACAUUUUAUGGUUCAUAAAAUAAAGUCAGGGAAAAAAUAUAUGGAAAAGAAUA
This is a non-coding RNA of Ictidomys tridecemlineatus (thirteen-lined ground squirrel), 10697 nucleotides long. The record is from RefSeq and is a predicted model, not a curated record. Lineage: Eukaryota; Metazoa; Chordata; Mammalia; Rodentia; Sciuridae.